RNAcentral lists this ribosomal RNA (503 nucleotides) under uncultured bacterium. RNAcentral's name for it is "partial 16S ribosomal RNA". It matches the Rfam family "Bacterial small subunit ribosomal RNA", at positions 899 to 1397 of the family's 1533-position model. The record is from RNAcentral.
ACUCAAAUGAAUUGACGGGGGUCCGCACAAGCGGUGGAACAUGUGGUUUAAUUCGACACUACGCGAGGAACCUUACCUAGGCUUGACAUGUACUUGACCGCUAUGGAAACAUAGUUUUUCAAGCGAAAGCUUGAACAGGUACACAGGUGCUGCAUGGCUGUCGUCAGCUCGUGUCGUGAGAUGUUGGGUUAAGUCCUUUAACGAGCGCAACUCUCGCUGUCAGUUGCUAAUCCGCAAGGAAGCACUCUGAUGGGACUGCCUAGGAAACUAGGAGGAAGGUGGGAAUGACGUCAAGUCCGUAUGGCCUUUAUGCCUAGGGCAACACACGUGUUACAAUGGCCAGUACAAAGAGCAGCAAGCUUGUAAAAGUAAGCAAAUCUCAUAAAGCUGGUCUAAGUUCGGAUUGAGGUCUGCAACCCGACCUCAUGAAGCUGAAAUCGCUAGUAAUCGCAUAUCAGAACGAUGCGGUGAAUACGUUCACGGACCUUGUACACACCGCCCGU